RNAcentral lists this transfer RNA (87 nucleotides) under Deltaproteobacteria bacterium. RNAcentral describes it as "tRNA-Leu". It matches the Rfam family "tRNA". Rfam says of the family: Transfer RNA (tRNA) molecules are approximately 80 nucleotides in length. Their secondary structure includes four short double-helical elements and three loops (D, anti-codon, and T loops). The record is from RNAcentral. Lineage: Bacteria; Pseudomonadati; Myxococcota; Myxococcia. RNAcentral also lists the same sequence under 1 other name.
GCCGGAGUGGUGAAACUGGCAGACGCGCGGGACUCAAAAUCCCGUGACCGCAAGGUCGUGCGGGUUCGACCCCCGCCUCCGGCACCA